This is a long non-coding RNA of Spinacia oleracea (spinach), 529 nucleotides long. RefSeq lists it as uncharacterized. NCBI's taxonomy places the organism in Eukaryota, Viridiplantae, Streptophyta, Magnoliopsida, Caryophyllales, Amaranthaceae. The transcript has 2 exons. The record is from RefSeq and is a predicted model, not a curated record.
AAUUAAUCGUCCAUUAAUUUUACCAAAAUAUUGUAGUAUAAAUAUGCACGUACUUACCAACAAGAUUAUUUACAUUCCAAGCAUUACAUUAAAAAUAAUUGUACGAGAAAGUGUAGAUUAUUGCAUACGUCCAAUCUCAAACAUGAAAUCAUCACACUUUGUUCCCGUCAUGUUGCUCCUACUACUCUUUGCUUCUUCGUCCGGCGGCAUAUCAGCAGUUAGAUUACCAGGAUCAUCGGUUGUAGAUGGCAAAGUGGUAGCUGAUUUACUUACUACUAGAACCGGUAAUGGGUGUACUGAUAUCGGCGCAUGUACUAGAGCUACUUGCUAUGGAAUUUGUCCAGGUUUGGGAGCUUGCAUAUUUGACGAUACUGCGAAAAGCGGCGUUGUUUGUUGUUGUAUUUAAUUUAAUAUUCCUUAUAAUAUAAUAACCGAUUGAUUGUCGAAAACUAUGGAACGGAGGUAGUAGUACUUAUGAACAUGUAACACGUUUAUGUCAAAACGGAAUAAGAAAAUUUGUUCUUAGUUA